AUGCUUUAUGUUCUCAGACUUAUUAACAAACCUGCUGUGAGAAUGUUUAUGCAUAAAUUUAACGUGGACCAACAAAUUACCUUUGGAAUUAUGUUAAUUAUAUGGAGUAAGAUGGCGCUCGCGCAGGUGCGCGCUGCGAGCUGCUCGUCCUCUUUAUGCAGUGGUACCUUGCUUUUUACUGGUUUUUAUUGGCGUUUUAUUGGCUUUUAUGCAUUUUUGUUGUCUCUGAUGCUGUUUUUGAAUGGUGUGGAUCCUCUGCUGACUUACGAUCGAGCUGCGCUGCUGAGGCUUCGUCCUCCCGUUGAUGUAGCGGGCUCCGCGAGCUGGGAACCUCACGGAUGGCGCUGCUGGUUGGACUGCCCGUGUGCUCUCUCCCCCCAAGCCGUGAUGUGUCGGCCCUCUGUCCGCCCCAGCUCGAGAAGGAAGUAUCGGAGAAGACGGGGAAAGAGAGGUAGCCGGCGCGUGAGACCUCGGGCUGGAUCCCUGAAGAAGCGGCUGGUCCGAUUCGGCCCAGCUUCUGACCCGGUGGUUCCGAGAUGUCUCCUGGAUCACUCGGCGCCCUGCCUAGGGAACUUGGCUGGCUCUGAGGGUGAAAUGGCACCGCGCCAUGGCCGAUCGGCUCGAAGAUCUCGCCAGACUGGGGUUUGCUGGGAGAAUCUGCGCUCGGUUACGGGCACAGAGUUAAAGGGGACUGGGCCCGUGCGCGAUCUUGGUGCUGCAGCUCUGCCGCAGACCCGGUUUGGUUUGGUCAAUGCCAGGUCUGUGCUGAACAAAACUUUUAUACUUCGUGACUUUUUUAUUCAGCAUGACUUGGGUUUUCUCUGCAUCUGUGAGUCCUGGAUCCCGUUUGGUGACUCAAGCGCCCUGCUGGAGCUGGUACCACCUGGCUGCUCCUGUUUUAAUAUCCCUAGACCACGGGGCAGAGGUGGAGGGCUGGUUGUUGUUUUCAAAUCCAGCUUUCCUCGUAAACAGCUUACACCCACCAUGUCAUUUUCUUCCUUUGAACUGUGCUUAUUUGAACUGUGCAUCUCCCCCCGCCUGCUCGUCGUGCUGAUUUAUCUCCCUCCAAAGACUGACUCUAACUUCCUUAAUGAUUUCUGUGAUCUUGUGGCAGACUGCAUCCUAAAAUAU
This 1131-nucleotide long non-coding RNA is filed under the name Nothobranchius furzeri (turquoise killifish). RNAcentral's name for it is "lncRNA (ENSNFUG00015019799.1)". Lineage: Eukaryota; Metazoa; Chordata; Actinopteri; Cyprinodontiformes; Nothobranchiidae. The record is from RNAcentral.